CCCUGAAGGACAAUAAUGGCCUCAUAGCUUUGGUUAACUUGGGUUUGGUGGCCAUUUUGAACCUGGAAGUCCCUCUCAGUGAUUCCUUUCCAGAUGCUGGUGCCCCAGUAUCUUCAAGUAUUCGGUACAGGAUUGAUUAGAAAGAAAAAUGGUAGCCGUGCGACUGACAUCAGUUUGCUUGGCACUCGGAAAGCAGUUUCAAUUCCUACAAUCCCGAGAGAGAGACAGAGAGAGAGAGAGACAAAGAGAGAGAAAGAGAGAGAGAGAAAGCAGCUUGCAAAACCUGGCAUCAGAUCAAGAAGUCAAACGCUGCCAAAGACACGCAUUUACAACGAUUAGCUACCUUUUUCUUUUAUCCCUCCCAUAGGUGGUUAUCUAAUCGCCAGUUUUUGUUUACUGGAAUCUCUCUGUUUAGAAACUGCACCUGACAUUAGCUGGAGCUAGCAGCGAUGAGGUAAAAAUGUCAAAAGAAAAAGAGAGAGAGAGAGAGAGAGAGAGAGAGAUAGAAAAAAAAAAUAUAUAUAUAUAGAGUGAGAGAAGCGAGUAUAGGUGAGCGGCGUCCUAUCAGAUACACUAAUAAGAUAAGCUAGGAUACACUCACACGUAGAACUUCAUAAGCUUUUAAUACUUUUAGCUCCAUCUACAAGCAGAACCUCCAAAGUGUAAGCACAAUCUGUGGAGUUCACUUCCCGUAGGUUCGACGAGACGUACACGCCGAGAGCCGGAGCUGACGAGGAUUAAAGGACGGAGAACGAGAUGUUCAGAUCUCCAGCAGAAACUCCAGCAUCUUGUGUGAUAGCUUUUCAUCCUAGUUUGGAUUUUGUUGAAUCAGUGACGUCUCCGAGGAUGAGAAAGCGUGUGUGUAGGGAGUUUCGAAUCAAAUCACACACUGAGAACAUACCGUGGAUUAAGGAAAAAUACAUCGAUUUAUGUUUUGUACUUACAAUUAAAAAUCCUAGAUAUAACGGUUACAUAAAACAAAAGCGAUACGUAUAGUAAAGUUGCAAGGGUUGGCCACACGAUAUAUUAAAACUCUCUCAAACUUCUUUUUUUUUCCCUUCAGUUUUUCAUUUAAUUACUCUCUCCGUCUCUCUGUUCUUAAGUGGAUUUAAUAAUAACGACAACAACAACAAUAUAAUCUCAUUAUUGCACUUAAAGGUGUUGGCGGUGGUGGGAUUAAAAAAAAAGAAGAGGAAAAACGUGAGUAAAAAUGUGUUAUUUUAACAACAGUAAUUUAUACUGCAUAAUAAAAGAAAUAAUAUAAAGGAAAUGAAUAUGAAUUUAAUUAUGAUUAUGAAGUGAUUAAAGUGUCCUUAUAAACGAAAUGUAAUUAUUCUUAUAAAACUCAUGAUGCUUCUAAAUUGAAUUUUAAAUACUUCAAUAUUAGUAAAACAUAAUAAACAAUUAACAUCUCUUCAAUUAUUUUUAAACGUCUAUGUAGCACAGACAUAUUCCUUAUUCUAUAAAUAUAACUUAGGUUAACCUGUAACUUGUAUAAAUAAAGGGGCGGGGCUAUAACACUGGGGCUCUGACGUCAUCUCGGUACUUUGUGACGCUUAUGCGUUUGCGUUUUAUCCAAUCGGAUGUGUACAAUUCGGUCACGUGAUUUAGACUUCGAUAAUUGAGGAAAAUUACGGUUAAUUUAAGUUUGUUAGUUAAAAAAAAGGGAGAAUUAUUAAAAACGUUUUGGUGAUAAACAUCUAAAUGUCGCCCAAAAGGAUAGUAAUAAGACGAGAAACUUUGAGGCGGUGUUCUUCCCUGACAACACAAAAAAAAAGUCCAGGCUGACCGGUGGAGGAGUGACAGGAGCGCAGGAGCCGGACGCUCAGGUGGACACGGCACAGAGUCGAGCGGAGCGCAAGACGAGAUGGGUUGUGGCACGCCGCAUCUCCAGCCGGCCAACUAGCUUCGCUGUCAGGACAAUUGUCUGAAGAUCACACCGAGGAAUUAGAGGAUGCUUAUCUAUAUCACCGCUUUCAUCCGUGCAACAGAAAACAAUUACAUGAACCGGAUUCAGAACAGGAGCAAAGCACACAUGUACGAUAGUAACGGUCUCUAGCUUUGUGGUUUUUUUUUAGUCUGUUGUUUCUAAUUGAAAAAAUAAAAGCUGGAUGAAGGACAAGAACCUUUUGAAACAAGUUAGUAAUAGCUGUAAGAUUUUCCUUUGCCUCGUCUCCGAUCAAGGAAUGAAUAUUUGAGUUAUUUGAAGUAAUUUUCAGCCAUUUUUUUUUAGCUCUAAUAAUGUGAUGCGCGAUAGUAAACAAAUAUAAAUUUUACUCUGAGACUCGAUAAACAAACCGGCGUAGACUUGUCCCAAGAUUAGGUCUGAGAGUGUAGAGGUGUGGGUGUGUGAGAGAGAGACCAGAGCGGGUCAAGGACAAACACAGCUGCUCUGUAUAAAUAUUCAGAUUUUAAAUGAGACCUUUUGAACAUUUACCACUUGUCCAGUACAAUGUAGUGUUGCAUCAUCUAAUGCAAUUUCCAUAUAAAUGGAGUUUUGUUGUACUAAAAAAAUGUGCAGCGAGCAGCUUCACCAGCUCACCAGAUCAGGGUCAUGAGCUUGAGGACAGUGUGUAACGUGGGUUUCUUUCAGGUUCUCCAGUUUCCUGCUAAACACAUGCAGGUUAGAUGGCAUCAUGACUCUGAAAGAUCAAACGAUGGUUAAUGAUGAAACGGGGAACAGCCAGCAGGACUCGAAGUGCACACCGUAAAGCAGGGACGUCUCCACACGCCUUCUCCGACUUCUUUUUUUCACGCGCGAGUCAGAGGAAAAGAGAAAAAAGAAAGAAAAAAAAACAGCCCCUCACUUCCAAAUAUUGUCUCACCGCUCUGUCGUGAUUUUUCUGUUUCUUUUUCCUAUAUAUUGAUCUCCAGAUGGACACAAAUGAAUUUUACCCCUCCUUCUCCUGUCCGUGUACGAGCGUAGAGAUUGUAAUACUCUUCAGUUAUUAGAAAAACGCACAGCGCAGAGGAACGACGACUGCAGAGGCUCUGAACACCAGCCAGAAUUCUAUUACAGGAAGACCGCAUCAGAUACAAUGAAGUAUUUUCAAGGGAUCGAGAGACAACAAUGUAUAUAAAAAAAUCCCAUAAAUAAAAAAAUAGCAGACAAUCUUAAGAGCAUUAGGAGUUUGAUCCUCUUCAAGGCGAGUCCACCGGGGACUUUCACGGCACUAAUUAUUCAUAAAAAUGAAAUGCCAUAUUAGUUUGUCUCGAUGUAAUUUUAUUUUGACCGAGUCCCCCCCCCCCCCCCCUUACGAGGCAGCUUCGCAAGACGAAUGCGAUGGAUUUAUUUAUUUAUUUUCUUUUUUAUGGCCCACUUUUCAUUUACAAGUGAUGAAUACGGAUAUAUUAUUAUUUGUUUAUGUUUAUGUAAAUAUAUCUUACAGUCCUAGAUCUAUUUAGCCACAGAAUCAAAAGUCCACGCGUUGAACCCGAACCUUGUUCAAUUACAAGCCCUAACUCAUGAGAUCUGAACAACAAACUUGCUCAUUCAGUACUUUUGGUUUGUUUUCACCCAAGUAGGAGGAGUUUAAUCAGGUAGGACUCCACCCCAACAACUUGCGGUUCAACAUACUUGUGAUUUUUAUACCACCGCAGUUUGCAAAUAAUUAAUUCUUUUAAAAAAAUCUGUUUAUAGAUACGUUAAUCAGUUCCUGUUUUUACUUUCGUCAUAGCAGAUAUAAAUAGCCUUUCCUUCACCAGCCUCUCUUUCUUUUUUCCCUUUCUAUUAUAAUUAAGACAGCUUAUCAUUUUGCUAAGAAACAGGAACGUCUUUCCCAUGUGGGAAAACUUGUAUACGGCUUUGCCUCGGACUGUUAAAAAAGUGCCAGCACUUGAGAAUUCUUCCAUAAAUGCUGAAUGAAUAUCUCUUCCAGGACAAUGGCAAUCUAUCAACACGUGUAUUAACGAGUUGCUUGGUAGCGUUAUUGCUGUCAUAGAAAGUUCUACGGUCAGACUACGCAAUCUUGUACUACUUAACGAUCGGCGACCGUUCUUGAGCAUUUCGCCGAAAGAGCAGAAACAGCUCGGUUCAGCAGAACUGCAUGGGUUUUGACAGGGAGGGAGAGGGGACUGCGAGCUGCCCGAGACGUCCUCAGAGUCACAGACACGCACCUUGUUAAGACUGUUAGGAUCAACGCCGUGAUUGAUCUACACGUCAAAUCCUUAACUGAAGCUCCAGUCCACGGCUCAUUUUAUGCUCUGAGGUCAAUUAACGAGCUGCAGAGGUGAAGGAGGAACCCGGGCCAGCGGCGGCGCCUUUGUCUCAUGCGUGGACUCUAUUCGAGCAUGCGUUUUAGCCCUACCAUCCACCUUUUAUGCAUGCUGCUUCGUUUGCCUGUCCUUCUCUUUCUUCGCUCAUCAUGGGGGAGGGUUUGGCCCUCAAGGACAGUAUUAUGUGUCUUAUGUAUCUUGCAUGGACGUGAACCCGGAGCCGAGGCAAACGUACACGCAUACAAAUGAGGGAUAAGGACACAUGUUUUUGAGCAUUUUUCCCCCCUCAAAUUAGCAGUAGAGGAGAAAAAAAGAACUAAACAGGAAUAAACUGAUUGUUCCACAUUAGCCUACUUAAGGCCACUCCAUCGCUGACAGACCAUAAAGUACGUCUUUAGGUUUCCGCGUCUUGCCGGCAUUAAAUAUAGAUGCUGUCGGAUUAACAUUUCACAAGAGAGCAUGAUUAAUGGGAGGUUUGACUCACUAGCGCCGCUCCUUAUUCCGUCACUAGCAAGCUAAUGGGCUUUGAUUUUAUUCAGAUCAUCCUUUACCCAUCAACCUAACUAUCUGCUCUUCACGGGAAGAGGGGUUUUCCCAUCCACGACUACAGAAUCCGAGUACAAACGAUGACGAGUUCGAAGAGGCUUUACGCCACCGUGGCCUCAUCCGAACAUCAAAGACUCAACACGAGGCUAGAUGCUGAUCUCUCCGUUUUCUUGUAAACCAUUUAUUUUUGAUUCUGCAUCAGCAAUAAAUGACACAUCGAUACUGUCAAAGCUUCUCCUUUCUCCUUGAAAGACGUGCCCAGAAAGGGUUAAAGCCCCUUCCCCCUGGCUUUGCCUCCCACUCUGUCUAGCCCUCACCCUUUUUCUGUCUCCCUGCAUCCAUUUGCAAAUGAUCUCGCUUGUCUGCAUAUUGUCACUUGCAGCCUGCCCGCACAUUCAUCAACUGUCGGCCGGUGCUCGGCGGCGCCCCCCGCGCCCUCCACACUUAAUUGUUCCUACUCUGACCUGCGAGAAUAGAGAAUGAUGUCCCUCUCUUGUGCUGGUGCCGGGCGACGAGGAUUAACAACUCUGCGGGGAUGGACGAAGCCUGUCACGGUCACGUAGCCUCUCGUUUCACAUACCCCCCACCCCUCGAGGUUUCUUCGGGGCAACUCCAUCCCCCCAACGCUACACUAUACAGUAGAUUUGAGAUGGCCCUACAUGUUUCAGAUUCUUAUUGCAUGAGAUGGCUCGUGUGGCAGGUUUUGUUUCCGUAUUUAUAACAUACUCCCUUUUUGAAAUAGGAACGAUUUCAUGUUCUAGUGUUAGAAACUCGAUAGUGUUUGAGAUACUCCAGACUCCUACUGAAUCUAAACGUACACGCUAAUAACCAGGAAUAGUUUAGCAAGACCUUUGUUCGAAGGUAGAGGCUUCCAUACCGCUGCCUCACCUUCUUCCACGCCUGUCUACUUUAACCAGUACCACAUUUUACAAGAGCUUGUGUGGUUUAUAGAGUUGUGUUUUACAUGUUUGUCAGCUUUAGCUGCACCUCAGCAUUGACCAACAGCUUCAAAGUCAUCACCGAGAAGUCUAAAGAAUUGUGUCCUCGAUUUGCAAAAUUCCGGCAACAAACGGCCACAGGUUGGUAAAAACGCUGCUAUUGUAGAGCAAGACCUGCCCCUUAGAGGUGAGACGUGUACGUUGAAGAGCACAUUUCAUCGGACAGGCACAAGACUAGUACAGGGUGAACCGUUAUAUAUUGGUGUCUACAGUGGAUGUAAGGUGCCACAUGACCACAGCAUUUGCAUUAACGAGGAGUUCUAAACGAUGCCGCCGCAUUGGCUAAGACAAGACAUGAAUUAUAAACGGUUUUGCUGUUGCAAAAUACUAUUUCCAGUCGCCUUAAACGGGCUUAAAAAUUAAAUGCUACUGAAAAGGAAUAGGAAAGCAGCUUGAACUUUCAAGCAGAACAGUUCGGGCCAGUGGGGAGCAGAAAAGGGGAUGCUUUUAGGCGAGAGAUGCUAGUUCGAGGCCACGCGAUGCCAAAAAUCAAAAGCUUUGAAGGCUAGUCUCUCUGAGCAGAUAUCCAACAAAUAUUUACCCAAGUAAAGUCUGCAGUGCAUAAACAAGCACAGCUUUAAAAAGUGCUACUUAAAAAACAAAUCACAGAAAAUUGCUUGGGAGUAAUUCACCGUGAGCUGCUCUUAGGAGGCGUAACUUGUGUUCAGAUACACUCUGUGAGCUGGGAAAAGACCCUCAUUUUGGUGUAGGUAUUAAUUCACCUUUUUAAAUCCUAAACAGCACAGAGAGAGAAAAGAAGACCGAGAAAAGAGCAGGUUCUCCUGUUCUAGUUUUAAGAAACGUUAAGUCACUGUGUAUAAUAUUAAGCAUUCUUCUUAUUGUUGUUGUUGUUGUUGUUGGCGGUAUUAUAAUUAUAAUGAUCACAUACAAUUCUGCCUUCUGCAUUGGACCUGAUGAUGUUAAUGCUGUGAAUGCAACAAACUUUUUGGUGAAGAACGGCAAAGAACUUCAGCGGAAUCGAUGAAGUAGGAGUAAAAGCUUACUAACCCUGCUGGGUUGGUUGGAUGGCUAGAUGGAGAGGUGAAGGGCUGUAUGAUUGAGUGGAUGGGUGGUUGGUUGAGUUUGAAGGUGGAUUAAAGAACGGAUAGGUUAUUAAAUUGGUGGAUGAAGGGACAAUUGGCCAAAUGUAUGGUUAGAUGAAGUGAUGGUGGAUUGUUUACAAUGAACAAAUGAAGGAUUCGUUCCGGAUGGUUGUGUGUCUAUGUCUAUGUAUAAUACAAAUAUUCAUGUCUGCUUUUAUCUUUCUCUUCUCUCUCACAAGCUUUUACUAACCACAUACACGAGUUUAGUCCCCCCCCCCCCCCCAACUGAUCUACAGUCUUUAUACUGUAUAAGUUCACACACAUUACAGAAAAGCAAUUCUCAUUUAGAGUGGAUGUUUAGACUGAAUCAUACCUUCCGAAAAGUUGGUUUUCUCAAGAAAAGAAAAGAAAAAAAACCGAGCCUGAGAUAAGAGGAAAUGCAACAGCUUAAUGGCAACCACUUCAAACAAACAGUCAGCAGGUGCCAUUGCAGUUCAAGAUCUUUUUAUACAUUACCGUUAGCACAAGAACAAUUUUAAACGGUCUGCCCAGAAACCACAGGCAGCGUACAGUCCAACAUCAUCUCACCUUUACAGACCCAAAGAUCUGAGUUGUGAGAAGGCUGCAAACGCCUGCAGCGCUCUCAAAACUGCGUGUGGCUGCUGCGACAGCCUGAACAUUUUCACCGCUAUUUCGGGUCAUACUACUACUGUCCUCCCUGUAAACAUGACAAUUUCUCUAGUUUAAUUCACUAGUUUAAUCCCACACACUCUAUCUGCUCUGCUGCAAAACUGCACCCACACAAAGUUUCUAUUUUUCUCACGCUUUGGCAGUUACGUGGUAGCAGUAAGCUAUGGGACCCUAACGCCAUCCUAAUAAUGGUCUAAAAUUAAAACUAUAUUGAUGUAUGGAGAUGUUUAUGGAGUACAGCUUUACUUCUGUGACGGGAAGGAGUUUGUAAAUCGAGAAUCUAAGAGAUUAAAACAUCCAUCCUUCUAUAAAAAAAAGAAUGAUACGUGAAUACGAUGUAUAGACUGAAUUGUGUUAGCAUAGAUGGUGUUUUUUGCUCGCGUAUUUAUUUUUCACCAUCGCUUUGUUUUUGUGAUGUCACACCACCACACCCAGGCUCAUAAGCAUCACUGUUUGUUCCUACGCUGAAAAUGAGACAAGAACGAGAAGACGGUCAACCCAAGGACAUUUAGUUUCAUACAGUCGCACUUGCUACAGCCGCUCAAGUCCGUUUUCUUGCACAGAUUCAUGUUCGUCUGUAAUCCUGUCCAGGAUAUAAAGUCACUCCAGAAGACAAAAGUUAUUGCAGUCACACGUGACCAUCUGUCACUGUGCCAAACUGCCCCUGAACUCCAGAAGAACUUCCAUUAAUACACGAUGCUGUGGACUUUGUUUAAAUUCACUCCAUAUUUAAAAAAAAAAUCCCCUUUCGCUCAGCUGUCAGAUCGCACUUUGUCAAAACCGGGAACGGAUUCAUCGGAGGUCAGGUUCGGAAAACCGAAAUAGCCACGCUGACCUCGAACCUUCGACCGCGACGGCUUUGCACUCACGGACAAAGGACGCGACAUAUCUGUAAAUACGUGCAUGACAAUAGGUUUCCGUUCGAAUGCACUCAGAUCCAUUGUACAUUAAUAGAGUGAGUGUUUUAUUCAUGAGCCAUAUUACGCUAGCGCAGGCUGAGAAAGCGCUGCACGCUCCUUGCUCUCAGACGUCACACGAGCGAUCCUAACCACACCGGACAAGUUCGGCACUGCCCCCGUUUACCACUGCCCACCCUUCUGCCCAUUAUAAUAAUCUAUUCAAGGAUUAAAGGUUUUUUUUUAUCUCCAAUCCCAUAAAUAAUGAAUCCAGUGUUUCAAAAUUUAAUUGCCCCGAAUUAAAUGAUUCAAGAUAAUGUUUCUUUCAUAAAUUUGUAAUGGUGGUAAGGGGCAAAAGUACAUUAGAUAAAAUCCAAACCCUUGUUCUUAUCACUGGAGGAAAACAGCGGAGGAGUGACCUUACAUCAUCAACGGAAGUCUCCAGACGUUUCCAGGUGAAAUCUGUGUGGGAUUUUAAUCUCAAAGAGUUUCCAAAGAGGCUUCUCUACACUCCUGAUGGAUCCCUCCGAGGACACCGAGAGAAAUAAAGGAUUUGAGGAAGAGCUGAGAUACAGAUGCUGAAAUCCUUUAACACUAAACGAAACGUCAAGGAGACUUCCAGCAGCGUCCGGCAUGAACGCGUGUGGAAUGCGAACGAUUUUCGACUUGUAUGUUGAAGAACAUGUAGGAACACAGGACGUUAAAGCUAAUAAGUAAGUAGCAGAUUUAAAAAUAUUAAGGUGACCAGUGGAAUGCUGCUUCCCCACGUAGGGAGCGCAGUGUUCACUUACGCCUCAGUGAUUACAACGCUUCAUUUAUUCAUGUUUUAUGAUGUCACACUUAUUGCCACUUAUUUCCGUUUUACAGAGAAAACAAAAACUUUUAACUAUUGUUAGUGUUAGGGGCUUUUUACGCCUAGUCACUUCAUGCGUUUUCUGUGACCCGAUAGCUAUCCAAGGGUUAAAAAGACCAGGUCUAAAUGCCCUCCGAAACUUUUUCGAAACGGAUAUAAAUCCGAUCGCUCAAACCCCUUCAGGAGGUGGUCUGGGACGCUUUUCAGAUGAAACUGGACAGGUGUAAAUGAAUGUGGUUGUUCAAGCCACAUACGUCAGUGCUAUACUCCUCCCAAACGGAGGUACGUCACUCGCAGGUGACUCGCGAGUCGCGCCAGAAACAACAUGGACGACACACAGGGAUGUUUUUUUGUAGCAUAAACGUAGCAUAAAAGUUUUUUCUUCUUUUCGAUUGCAUUCUGAAAACCGCAUACCCCAAAGCGUGUUCCAUUUCAAUUACCCCAGAAAUGAGAUAAAAUAUAUUAGCAUUUUGGGUGGGAGUAGAAAGAUCGGAUCGAUAUCCGAUAUAUCCGUGUAAAAAGGCCCUUACAAAUUGCUCCUAACAAAAGUGUCACUCGCUCAUGUCGGUUUCUUCUCUACAACAUUAAAAGGAUUCGGCCAUUUUUGUCCACACAGGCUGCUCAGGCACUUGUUCAGUCUCUUGUCAUUUUUAGACUGGAUUACUGCAACGCACUGCU
Molecule: long non-coding RNA, 9919 nt
Organism: Tachysurus fulvidraco (yellow catfish)
Lineage: Eukaryota; Metazoa; Chordata; Actinopteri; Siluriformes; Bagridae
Exons: 3
Source: RefSeq, a predicted model, not a curated record